This 1316-nucleotide long non-coding RNA is filed under the name Felis catus (domestic cat). RNAcentral describes it as "lncRNA (ENSFCAG00000044214.2)". Lineage: Eukaryota; Metazoa; Chordata; Mammalia; Carnivora; Felidae. The record is from RNAcentral.
CCACGUUCCACCUGAACACUGUGCCUUCACAAUUACGUUUACAGCCAUUUAUUCGUCCGUUGACCCAGGGAACACGGAAAAGGUCAGACUCGGUCCCCACUGUGAAAGCCUAAUUAUUUAUCCCACAAAGGAGGCGGACCUGGAAACAAAGGGGAAACAGCCUGGUAGUUUUCUCUGCUAUUAGUGCCCCCAUUUUACAUGGAGGAGAUGGGGUCCCAGAGAAGUCUAGUGAUUUGCCCAAGGCCACACAGCUCAGGAUGGGGGAGCGGAUCCAAAGCCCAGACAUCUGCCACUAAGGCCGAGGUUCCUUCCCCCCACCUCGCCCUGCCCCACAGAACAUGGGAGAGGAGGUAGGAAAGGAAGAGGGCAGCAUAGGCUGGAGGCAUCAGGGAGGGCUUCCUGGAGGAGGGGGACCCCAGACUGGGCCCUGAAGGACAGACCAGAGAAGAGCACAUGGGGGGAUGAAGCAGCUCCUAGUUUGCUGCCCCCAGUUCUUGAGGCCUCUGGGUCUGGAAUUCUCCAUGAGGAGGUUCAAGGUCUUCCUGGAGCAGGUGCCCCAGGAACCUCUCCCCAGAGCAGGUGGAGUUGAGUCCCUCCCAGGUUGGAGGCGGCUCCCAGGUAGGGAGUGGUGGGCAGGGCGGAGCAGGAGCUCCUGGGCACCUCUGUUCUCUUGGCUUCUGUCCCAGGUGCUGCUGAACGGGAGCGAGGAGGGCAGCGUCCUUGCCUGUCUGCAGUGCGGGGACAGUGGUCUCACCCACGUCCCAAGGAGGCCAUCAGACCACGUUCCGUCAGCGCGUCAGCCCCACACACUGUGCGCCCAAUCCCGCAGCGUCUCCUCGCGGGACACGUGCACCGCCUGGGGCCCUGUCAUUUCCCUUGCAAAUCUCCCCGAGGGAGCAGCAUCCCAGGGAGGAAGCCUCCCUGGACCCAGAACAUUCCAGCGCUCGCAGCAGAAGCUCAGGAAUACCGAAUGGGAGGAAGAAGAGGGGAACUAAGGGACCUCGCUUCAGAGACACCAAUGGAACCGGAGGCAGAGAAGCCAGUGGGAAAUGAGCAGGGUGUGGAGUGAGGUCAUCAGAAAAGAUUCAACCUUGGGGCGCCUGGGUGGCGCAGUCGGUUAAGCGUCCGACUUCAGCCAGGUCACGAUCUCACGGUCCGUGAGUUCGAGCCCCGCGUCGGGCUCUGGGCUGAUGGCUCAGAGCUGGAGCCUGUUUCCGAUUCUGUGUCUCCCUCUCUCUCUGCCCCUCCCCCAUUCAUGCUCUGUCUCUCUCUGUCCCAAAAAUAAAUAAACGUUGAAAAAAUUUAAAAAAAAAAAA